AGUUUGAUCAUGGCUCAGAACGAACGCUGGCGGCAUGCCUAACACAUGCAAGUCGAACGAGACCUUCGGGUCUAGUGGCGCACGGGUGCGUAACGCGUGGGAAUCUGCCCUGGGGUGCGGAAUAACUCGGAGAAAUCCGUGCUAAUACCGCAUAAUGUCUUCGGACCAAAGAUUUAUCGCCCUGGGAUGAGCCCGCGUAGGAUUAGCUAGUUGGUGGGGUAAAGGCCUACCAAGGCGACGAUCCUUAGCUGGUCUGAGAGGAUGAUCAGCCACACUGGGACUGAGACACGGCCCAGACUCCUACGGGAGGCAGCAGUGGGAAUAUUGGACAAUGGCGAAAGCCUGAUCCAGCAAUGCCGCGUGAGUGAUGAAGGCCCUAGGGUUGUAAAGCUCUUUUACCCGGGAUGAUAAUGACAGUACCGGGAGAAUAAGCUCCGGCUAACUCCGUG
Molecule: ribosomal RNA, 449 nt
Filed under: uncultured bacterium
Lineage: Bacteria
Description: bacterial SSU rRNA
Rfam family: Bacterial small subunit ribosomal RNA
Source: RNAcentral